GAGCCGUUCAUGCCAUGACCAUAUUGCCUUUGUCUUCACCAGCUGAGCUUGACAGCUUGUUUCCCAAGUCUCUCACUCUUGAUACUAGCAUGAUCACUAAUGCAACUGGACAAGAAACCCACCCCAGGGGUGCUGCCUAUGGAAUGGGCUUUCCCAGAAAUGGCCACACGACCGAGGGAUGUCGGCUUGCUUGCAUCAGACUGAUCUAGCAAAGGCAAGAGCAACUUUCUCUGAACCUGCCCCACCAGUGACCUUGGACCUGAGCAGAGGGACCACCCUCAACUCUGGAUGUGAGGUAAGUUAAAUUACACGCUGCUGAAUUGUCCUAAUACUGCCAGCAUUUUGGGCAGAAGUUGUAAUAAUGAUAAAAAAGCACCAGUGUAAUGGAUACCAUCAUAACUCUGUAACUACAGUUUAGGUUUUGAAAAUUACAAAUAUGUGUUUAACUAAGGCUAACCAGAAAGUACUAGAUGGUGCUUUAACUGUGGCCAGCUGUCUAGUAUUUAGAAAUUAGAAAAAAAUGUUUUUUCCUUCCAAAGUGGAAAAAUUGCUGUCCGUUUGUACAUAUUGAGCUGGUGACCAUUUGUCCAGCUCUACCAGGAAGCAUCAGGUUAUCUGUUUUAUCAAUAGAUUAUAAAGUACUUUGUAGAACACCUGUACAAAACAUAAGAAAAAAGGACUCUCUAGCCUUCAACUUAGGAUGCACUUCACCUCUCAUAGAUUAGAGACCUCCUUUGAAGUCACUAAAUUUCAUAGUUUUGGGGUUAUUUAUCAAGUCCCAUCAGUUAAUGGGUCAUGGUAAACUUCAUUUUCUUUAGUAAGAAUGAGUUGGGUUUUUUCCUUGAAUUAUAUGUGAGACUUAUUUCAGUGAUAUUUCUUCAACUUAUGCAGGGCAGCUCUGUUCUUUCCAACUCAUGUACCUUUGGCUGUAGAUCUCUCUGUAAAUGUUGAUGAUUAUAAUUCCUUUUUACCCCUACCCUGACUAAGCUUCACACCUGUCCCUUGUUCCACCUCCCUCUCCUUAACUUUCUCAGAUGUGGAACAGCUGGGAACAUGGAAAGAGUAUUUCAGCUGCCAAUGUCUGUGUCAAACAGAAAGGAGAUGUUCUGCCUCCAUAAGCAGCUGUGUUUGUAGAGCUGCUGGCUCCAUGUCAGACAGAGACCUAGUGAAGAAGGUUACGUGGAUGAGAUGGGCAGAUAAAUGCAGAAAAGCAUCUAUGUUAGCAAGCCAAGAAGUGGACGUUAAUGCAGUUUAGAAACGUGUGGGCUUUCCUGAACUCCUCCUAGGCAAAGGGUAUACUGAAAUGGUUGGUGGUUCAGGCUUGACUUUGUUUUUGAUGUCUGGCCAAACACAGUUAGCUGAUAGGCGUGGGUGGCUGAAAGAUUGCUCUCAUUGAAGGGCAUUGACAGAAUGAGCUUUUUUUCUUUUCCUCCUCCCCUAACCCCCAACGAUUUCCCAGAUCUACAGACAAACAACUUACUGAGACAGGGUUAGACAGGAGCUAAAACAGAACCCCACAUCUUGGGUAGAGAUGGGCUUACCUAGGCAGCAGCAGCAGGACUCUCAACAGGCACAAAAGGGUCAGUUGAGGUUGGAUCAGGAGCCUCUCUCUUUAGUGGUGGUUUUGUACUCAGUACUUGCUCUAGAGGCUGCCUCUGCAGCAGCCUUUCUGUAAGGAGACUGGAGGGAGAAGGAGCAGUUCAAAGAACAGGCUGGCCGGCUCUCUGAUAUUGCCACAGCAAAACUCAAGACCCCCUUUCUCUGGACCACCAUCUCCUCUGAAACAGAGGCAGUGUGUUGGCAAGAUGGACUGGAAACACCUGGUUUGAUCUCUUUUCCACGGCAGUCAGUUAUGUUCUAGUGAAAUAGAGAAAACACUCCUACUGGAGCAAGGAGGAGGGAAAAAAUAUGAGCCAACAGGAUUGACCUCUCAGCUGGGAAGCACUGGGCAGAGCUGGAUGGACAGUUGCGCACAUUCAGAGGUGGGGUGUCCAGCAGCAGUUGUGGGGAACUGCAUAAGCCAUGGAGGGGAGGAAUGCAAUUGUAAAUGAGGAAGGGUUUGUUGUGUCUUUGCUCUCUAUGCAACACAAGGUGCACAAGGAAACCACACUGGCUCCACUUGUUUCCAGCUGACUGUGCUUAUUGUACCAGACCGGGCUUCCUAUCUGCUUGGCUGCUGUGGCAGUGGUCUGCAUAGCUUCUCCAGUGCAAGCCAAGGAGGCCCGGUGGGGGGUUCCCGAGCUAUCUAAAGCAAUAUUAUCCAAUUACUCUCCAUGACUACACCAGGGUCAGGACACUUUGACUUUUAUUUCAUCUCCUGGCAAUAACACUAAAAGCCUAAUUUGGCGUCCAUUGAAGUUAAUUAAAAGUUCAUGCUUUGUCAGGCACCCAACAUUAUUAAGAGACCUUGGGCAAAUGUUUCACCUCUUCACACCAUGUUUUACCUGUUUCUUCUGUCUAUGGAGACUAUGUAGAUGUGUACCUGAAAAAGCUGCUUUUUGAUGUUUUGUUAAUAAAUGAAAGUUGUGCUAAACCCUUGGGUGGCAGAGACUCCAGGGAAGAACAAGAAAAUUUUAUUAAUUGGUUAACAAUUUUAUGAAUGGGUUAACCUUAAUAGGUAGCUUUAUCUAUUAAAAUAUUAAGACAGUUUGUGGAAAUAAUUUAAAUUCAUAAUGCAGAAACUUCACAGGAACAACGGAAAGGCUGGCUGGGACCACUGCAAGGUGGCAAUAAUAACUGGGGUGGCCAAAAUGAAGAGUAUCUUCUGCAGUCCUGAGCUCUGUGCAGAGAUCCAGCUUGGCACCCAUGUUGCUGAGGGAUCCUUACUACCAUGUGCUAACAGGGUGCCUUUCAUGGGCUCCUGCAGUCUGCAAUGGGAUAUCCUGAGCCGCGAGGGUCCCAAAGGGGUGGUUUAAUCCUGCAGAGCCACUCUAAGUGUUCAAUGCCAUGUAGUGCAACACUCGCACCUGGAGCUCUUGGUCCCUCUUUCCUUGAACUGACUGAAGUCUUUAAAAUGACAUAAAUACCUGCUUUUGGUGUGGGAGAGAGAUUUUUCUUCUGGUGAGAGGAUGGGAAGCAAAGGUCUACCAGGCAGCAGAACCAGCUGGUUGAGCAUGCAGGCAGGAGGGAGGAGAGGCAGCGGCAGCCUGGGAGACCAGAGACCAUGUUGUCAAGCCACCCCCUAAGGAAACAGUGGCUCCCUGGAACAGCCACCUCUCUUCAGUCUGAAAACACCUACUGAUGGAGGUGCAGGUCUACCUGAAAUGCAACUGUGAAAUAAAAGUGAGACAGGGCUGGUAAUCUGUAAGGAGCAGUCUGGGGUCUCCAGGGAAUUUGGUGAGUUGAUAGCUUGUAGUACUCGGCUGCAGAGGCUCCUCCCCAACACACCAGUCCCUGUGCAUUAGUGCCUUGUGGCCUUCAGCCAGCCCACCCAGUCCUGCCACAAUGACCCCAGGCAGACGGGUAAGCAAAAAGAACCUUGUCUGAAUUUGUCCUGCUCCCUUCCAUGUGGCUGCAAGAUCACAUGCUGUGAAGGUAGAUGAUCAGUCAGAAAUAUGACUGUCGGCAAGGACCUGACAGGUGGAAUUCAGUUGCUUAACCAUGGGCUUCUAGUGCAAUUUUAGAUGUCUCAGAAUGUCCAAGGCCUCUGUGUGCAGCCUGGGAUAUGAUAGAGGACUUCCAGGAGACCCACACCCUUCUGGAAGAGGAUGGAGACCAAGGAGCUGUCACUAACUACCUGGAUUUCAGCAUCUGAACCCCAUCCCAGUGCCAGGUCCAGGGCACCCUAAAGCACCGAGCCCUCCUGGUGGGGAGACACAGGGUGGGUACAGCUGGUAUGGCCAUAUCUAAACUGGUAAUACCCUUCCCUCCCUCCAGUAGGCAAGAGCUGGCUUUAUUCAUACGGGGCUGGAUCCAGUCAUUGUUGUCAACAGGAAUUUCACCACUGAAUUCAGCAGAAUAAAAGCCAGCACAGCUUCAUGCUGAUGGGCUUUAUAACCUUCUGUUGACAAGCCACUGUAAAAGGGAAAAUGAGGUUUAAUCUAACAGAGAUAAUGGGAAAAAUAUAGAAUUGUGUAGACAAAAAAAGCUGUUUUCUGUCAUCUCACCACACUCCUUGGAGAGGAUAAGCAAAAGCAGAUGCUAUCAGUAGAGGAAGGUGCCUAUAAGCAAUGAAGCAAAUCUGGAGAAGAUUGUUCAGUAUUAUCUUACUUAGCUGGAAGAUGGAAAAUGCAGACCAGAAAGCGAUGGGGCAAAGAAACUGAAAAUGUUCAACCAAGAACUGAUGAAAAUGGAAUAACAAUGUAGGCAGAAAGAAAGAUUGAACAAGGAGCUGGGGAGAGUGGAAAGCUUAUGGUUUUGCUUUUCCCUUUCUCAUCUGAUUAAAGUAAUUUCAGCCCAAUGGAUUUACAUCUAAGUGGUUAAGUGACUGCCAGAUAGUAUCACUGUAACUGCUCAGAUGAAAGAAGAGCAUUUGAUAGCUACCUGUAUGUAAAUCAGGUAAGUUAUUUAUAGACCACAGACUCCAGUGUAUGAAUGAGAGGUGCUAUCACUUGGCUGACUCUUAUCAGGGGUAAAAAAAAAAGACCUCGCAGUCUGCCGACAGCUAUGCCCAGGGAGACCUCUGUGUGAAGUACUUCUGAGGGUCUCUUGGGAUCCAUCUUUGUGGAUCUACAGGUAGGAACUAGUAGCAGCAGGCUAGAAAGUUUAAAUCCUAUUAUUUUUCUGUUAUGUAUGAAAAAGCAGAGUUAAACUGAUAUUUUUCCCCCCCAUUCACAGAAAGCAUGUAGAGAAUAUGGUUUAGGAUGACUUAUUGAUGAAGCAGGAAUGUAACAACACUCUUUUAAAUAAUUCUCUAUCGGUCUCCAAUAACUUGAAUCUUUUAAUUAUUUUUUUGUGUAAAUGUACAUAUAACAAACACAGACACAUUUUACAAAAGUAAAAAAUAAUUAAUGGAAUAAUAUAGGAAACCACAUAAUCUGUAUGUCAUAAAUAAACAAAGACCAUCAAUGUGUUGUCAGAGGAAACUCUUAUUGAAGGAACUCAAUUCUAGCAACAAUAUUUGUUGCCCAGUGAAUCUUACCAGAGGCCAACAAGGGUCUGUAACUGAAUCUUCUUAAAAAGGCUGUUGAAAUGAAUUUACUUCAAUAUCAGGGACUUUUUAUGGAAACUGGUGGGAGCUUUAGAUGCAAAACUCUAAAUCAACCUGUUUUGCUCCAUUUGACCGGAGUUUGAGGACUUUAGUCAAAGAGGAGUCUGAAAAAGAAAUCUUAUUGUAUUGACAGGUCCCCAGACUGGGAGGGAGGCUGCAGGCUUGAUUUGACAGGGAAAGAGAGCUACAAAUACUUGUUUUCCUGUCUUUGUAAACAGUGGAUAGGAAAUGGCUAGAAGUCUAAAUGGUUCUCCAUGGUUCUCUGUGCUCACGGCUCAGGUUAAGGUAAUGGGGUUCGCUUUUUCUCCUGAUCAUGAACAUUUGGAAAAGUAUACACAGGUGAGGUAAAUGCAGCGAGGAUAGUGCUCAUUCUGAGAGAGGAUGUCAUAACAACAACAAAAAAGAGAUAAAACAUAGUUAUAACCAAAUUAGCCAUGACUAAUUUACAAUGCUGUGUCAGGGACUAUCAGAUACAGGUAGGUUCAACAAAUCAGCUUCAAACCACAGGUGCCUCAGUAUAGGUUUUAAGUCCCAUAUAUGUGAGAUUAAAGGAAAUUCAAGAAUGUAAUUACAUGCAGUAUGUUAAAGAGUUUACAUGACAUUUUUCUGAAUGAGGAGUUUGUAAAAGCAGGUAUAUUGUAGACUGUUUACAGGCUAAAUAUGAACCUGGCAAUUAUGUUCUGCUAUUUCAUUUCCUUUGCAAUUCCAGUUGCAUACACAAGUUUUCUUCCUCCCUGCCUUCUUUGGUUCUUCGGUACCUGCCAUGCUCCUUGGAAUAUCGUGUAAGCCAGCAUGUCAAUAUAAACAAGCACUGCUUUGUUCUGCAGCUAGCAAAUGUUAUAUGAAACUUAAUUCACACGCAAAUAAGGAGCGCUCAGGUAACUGCAGCCCUGGUUUUGGCUCAUAAAUGCAACAUGCUAAAAUAACAGUAGCAUCCAUGUCCAAAUUUACACUGCACGUAUAUCUUGUCCAGACAAUACGCUUUUAUUCUCCUCUUCCAAUUGCAGUGCAUGGGCUGAAUUGGCUUUCCUGAAGUCAAUGGACCAUUGCCAGUAGUUCUGACCAGAGAAUUUAAUUAAAGACUGAACCUCUUUUUCUCUCUCCCCACCCCAUUUUAUUUUUGUUUGAUUCUUCUACAAUGCUAAUGCAUUAGACCUUCUAUAACACAUCAACCUUAUUUUUUGUUUACAAAAAAGGAAACUCUUGGGGAAAAUUAAAAAGAAAGCCACCAAACAAAUAAACCAACAAUAAAUAUUUGAUAAGUUCUGUGGAUGGGAAACAAUUUUCCACAUGGCCAGAUUUCUGAAGCUCUGCAGAUGCCUUGUGAGAUUGUCAUAAGAGUCAAGAAAGAUUAGCUAUGUGUCAUAUUUAGCUAUGUUAAUGCUUUUUUCUUUUUUUUAAACUUGUCCUUAUUGCCUCAAAAUCUGUGUGUAUAACAAAUAAGAAGUAUGUGCUAAGGUAUUUACAGCAAGGCAUUUUUUAAAUACCAUGCUUUCCUGACUAGAACAUGAAAAUAAAAUAUAUUGGACUUGGUAGAAAGUAAUGUUGUACUUUCCCACUGCCCACCCUUAAAUUUAAAUGAAGGAUUAUAUACAUAAAACUUGAAGUAAAUUGACAAUUGUAUUGGUUCUUCAGCUGGGACUGAGGAAUAGAAAUGCUGAUAUCCUGUAAGAUACCAAGCAAUAUGAUUCAACUAACCGUAAAAUGCCUACACAGCAGAGCAAAUAAUUACUUGUUAAACAGUGGAAGAAAGUCUACUGAUGGAAUGACUUGCAGCUUCUUCAUCUGCAGCUUACGGCCAAUAAAUCUCAUUUAAAAAGUAACACUGGCCACUCAUCCUUUCAGCACGAAGAGACUGUCAUCACCAUCCUAUAUUAUUUCUGGCCUCACAGUAUUUGCACUGUUUACCUAUUAUUAAUCAAGUUAUAUCAUCAUCCAUGACUAAGUUGGUCUGUCAAAAGCCAUUAGGUGGAAUUGUCCCAGGUCACUGUGGUGCUCACUGAUGGAAAUAAAAGCACUUUUCUGUGGGAAGGAAAGAAAGAUGAGAGGGGCAGGUCCACGUGAUGGGGGGCACCUUGUCUGAUUGCAGCUGGUGACAGAUCAGAUGUGCAUCCUCAUAUGAGGCCAUAUGUAGCCCAAGAUGGUUGGAUGCAGUAGGUUAUAACUGCACACUUAAUUGUGUUACAUGUCUUGAAGAGGUAAGAGGCAGCUCAGGAGGGCUGAGCUUUAUCUUCACACUGUCCUUGAUGUUCUCUAUGGCUUGGAGCAAAUUGUGUAGGCUUUGCCUACACUAGCAAGCGCUGAAGCGUAAAAUGAUCAGAUCUGGAGACUGAAACAGCUGAAGGUAAGAAGUUGAUGUUCACUUUUCACGAACACACAAACCCUACAGAUUUAUUUAUUUUUUCGUAAAAAAGUCUAGUCUGAUCUGUAGUACCAAACAUCCAUGAGGCUGGAGCACAUCAGGAGCCCUUUUGGUAUGCAUCUUGAUUUAGUUUCAUCCAGGGUGAAUCCAGCUAUUACUCUGCCCUUUCCACAGUAAAAACCGAAGCACAUUAGGUGGAGACAACCAGGAGAUUAACUAAUGGUACAAACUGAAAUGCCAAUACGGAUAACCCUUUCAUUCUUGCUGUCUCAUAGGGAUAUUCCUACACUAGGUUCAUUUAUAUGUGACCUCUUUAGCUACUAUGAUAAUGACAGUAGAUGUGAUAGCAUAUUCCAUUUCAGCAUUCACUUGACAGUAUGUAAGCAAAGAUUAAAUGAUGUUUAAUAGGUGCAUAAUUAGCAGAGGUUAGACUGUAAAUGAACAAGAAGGAGGUGGUUCUUCACACAAUGGGCAAUUAAGCUGUGGGGUUCCCUUCUACAGGAUAUUGUAGAUACUAAAACUUCACAAGGUUACAAAAGAGGCUCCACAGACUCCCAGAAGUAAAAUUCACGGAGGGAUACGUUUGUCAAAGACUUUUCCUGUGUGUUGGGAACGCUGAGCUGUGAGUUGCUGGAGCACCUGAGAGUGUCCUUGGGAAGAAUCACCAUGUGCUUGCCCCAAGUACCUGGUAUCGGUGGCUGCCAGAGACGGGUUAAUGAAGCAAGACAGACUUCUGAUCUAACAUGUUUCAACAAUUCUUGAAUUGAUUGCUUCUUUCUUUAGAAAGCUUUAGUUUUUUUCAAAUUCACUCAUUCAAAUAAAAUCAUCCA
Phalacrocorax carbo (great cormorant) is the source of this 8341-nucleotide non-coding RNA. The record is from RefSeq and is a predicted model, not a curated record. NCBI's taxonomy places the organism in Eukaryota, Metazoa, Chordata, Aves, Suliformes, Phalacrocoracidae.